Molecule: long non-coding RNA, 309 nt
Filed under: Nicotiana benthamiana
Lineage: Eukaryota; Viridiplantae; Streptophyta; Magnoliopsida; Solanales; Solanaceae
Description: long non-coding RNA (NBEN_LNC001796)
Source: RNAcentral
ACGUCUGCUGGGGACCCUUUCCUCUUUAUGUCUAGAUUUUUCUCUUUUCUCAUCCUUUGUUCUCUCUCUUUUUCUUCCAUUAUCUUUAGUAACACCAGCUCUGCUGUCUCUUUCUGUCUCCUUUCUUUCUUCCUUGACAUUAGAAGGAGAGGGCCUUUUCCUUGAUUCAGAUUCCUUGGCUUUUUCCCCUGACUUACGACUUCUCUCUUUCACUCUAUCUUUUGAACCAUCUAGAUCGUCCACCUUUUCCUUUCUAACAUGCCCUUCCUCAUGGUUCCUACGGUUUCCUUCUUCUUUCUCAAUUUUUCU